This 782-nucleotide ribosomal RNA is filed under the name Bdellovibrio sp. Its description in RNAcentral is "16S ribosomal RNA". It matches the Rfam family "Bacterial small subunit ribosomal RNA", at positions 197 to 1373 of the family's 1533-position model. The record is from RNAcentral. Lineage: Bacteria; Pseudomonadati; Bdellovibrionota; Bdellovibrionia; Bdellovibrionales; Pseudobdellovibrionaceae.
GAGGUUAAAGGUUUUUCGCCUCAAGAUGAGUCCGCGUGAGAUUAGCUAGUUNGUGGGGUAAUGGCCUACCAAGGCGACGAUCUCUAACUNGUCUGAGAGGAUGAUCAGUCACACUGGAACUGAGACACGGUCCAGGCUCUAACGGGAGGCAGCAGUAGGGAAUAUUGCANAAUNGAGGAAACUCUNAUGCAGCGACGCCGCGUGAGUGAUGAAGCUUCGGGUCGUAAAGCUCUGUCGCNNGGGAAUAACNCAAUGAAGGUACCCUGUAAGAAAGGAUUAAGUCAGAGUGAAAGCCAGGGCUCAACNNUNGAAGUGCGUUUGAAACUGUGUAGCUUGAGUCCUAGAGAGGUUACUAGAAUUCUUGGUGUAGUGGUGAAAUACGUAGAUAUCAACAGGAAUACCGGNNGCGAAGGCGGGUAACUGGCUAAGCACUGACACUCAGACCCGAAAGUGCGGGGAUCAAACAGGAUUAGAUACCCUGGUAGUCCGCACCGUAAACGAUGGAUACUUGUUGUUGGAGGUAUUGACCCCUUCAGUGACUGUACUAACGCGUUAAGUAUCCCGCNNNNGGAGGGAGGAAGGUGGGGAUGACGUAAUGUCCUCAUGGCCCUUAUGCCUAGGGCUACACACGUGCUACAAUGGCUGGCACAGAGUGAAGCUAAUUCGCAAGGUAGAGCAAAUCACUUAAAAGCCAUCUAAGUUCGGAUUGAUCUCUGAAACUCGAGAUCAUGAAGUUGGAAUCGCUAGUAAUCGCGGAUCAGAAUGCCGCGGUNAAUACGUUC